Molecule: ribosomal RNA, 478 nt
Filed under: uncultured bacterium
Lineage: Bacteria
Description: partial 16S ribosomal RNA
Rfam family: Bacterial small subunit ribosomal RNA
Source: RNAcentral
GACGAACGCUGGCGGCGUGCUUAACACAUGCAAGUCGAACGGUAAGGCCCUUCGGGGUACACGAGUGGCGAACGGGUGAGUAACACGUGGGUGAUCUGCCCUGCACUUCGGGAUAAGCCUGGGAAAAUGGGUCUAAUCCCGGAUAGGCACCUGGGAUGCAUGUCCUGGGGUGGAAAGCUUUUGCGGUGUGGGAUGGGCCCGCGGCCUAUCAGCUUGUUGGUGGGGUGAUGGCCUACCAAGGCGACGACGGGUCGCCGGCCUGAGAGGGUGCACGGCCACACUGGGACUGAGAUACGGCCCAGACUCCUACGGGAGGCAGCAGUUGGGAAUAUUGCACAAUGGGCGCAAGCCUGAUGCAGCGACGCCGCGUGAGGGGUGACGGCCUUCGGGUUGUAAACCUCUUUCAGCACCGACGAAGCGCAAGUGACGGUAGGUGCAGAAGAAGGACCGGCCAACUACGUGCCAGCAGCCGCCGUAA